AUUUUGGAGUCAUAUCAAAGAUAAGUCCAAUGCUAAAAGUAUUAUUUGGUUUAAUUCUGAGAAUUUUAUUGACUUGAUUCUUAAAUAAAGGCCUGUAAUCCAUUCUCAGAUAAAUUUUGUAUAUGGUGUGAGAUUAGGGACAAUCAGCUUUUAGUGGGGGAAAUUUUCAUAAUUCAUCAACAGCCACGAAGGGGAAAUUCCACCACAGAGAAUUCAUAAAUGGCGCAAAAGUUUAGAGUUGAUCGGAACUAUUUCUAAACAAUUUGUCUCCUGGAUCAAAACUUCUUUUAUUUUCAAAGAGUCUGUGGCUAGUGAGACCUAUAAUACAAGUGAGUAAACAAUAGAAAAGAAAUAGUCUAAGCUUUCAAACCUGAGGCCUUGCCAUUAGUGGGUUAUGAAAUCUCCUUAGUGGUUUAAAGCCCAUACUUUUCAAAUCAAAUAAAAAGGACAGAAUAGAAAACACAAACUUUCAGAAUGUGGAUUCUGUAUGAAGGAAAAUGUGGCUUUGGAGUUUUAUAUGCAUGUGUUUAUGUGUUCCAGGAGUUGGUAUAACAUGGUUUUCUUAACCACAGAUGACAUUUUUAAGAGGGUCCUAUAAAUGGCUUGAGCAUUGGUGAUGAUAUAUCACUGCAUGGAAGGUGAGGGGACAUCUUUCUAGAGAUAAUUUCUCUGCUCUUUACAGCUUCUGGGCACAACUUGACAUUUGUCCUUCCUCUGUAUCCCAGACAACCAUGAUCAACCUCCAGCUACUAUAAAUUCCAGGGAGACUUAGAAGAUCUUCAUUCAAAAUUAAAAAUCAAAACCAGUUCAACCCACAAUGAACAAGUUACACACACACACACACACACACACACACACACACACACACACACACACACACACUCACACUUCCAUAAGCAUGUCUACCAUUUGAGUAAUUCUCAAUAUAUUCCCAUAUGUGAGGGUUUUUUUUUUUUAAUUCAUUUAUGAAAUUUUACCGGCCACUCCCCGAUUUGACUUUUAAUUUUAUUAGGGUCCUUUUUCUGUCAUCAAAUGAGUUCUGUUAAAAGUUCUUAUGUCUCAAAGC
RNAcentral lists this long non-coding RNA (1066 nucleotides) under Cricetulus griseus (Chinese hamster). RNAcentral's name for it is "lncRNA (ENSCGRG00015037318.1)". The record is from RNAcentral. Lineage: Eukaryota; Metazoa; Chordata; Mammalia; Rodentia; Cricetidae.